AUCUUAGGUUUGGCUUUUUUCUGCACAUUUUCCUAUUUUUUUCAUUAAAAAACAGACACUGCAAUUCUCCUGUGUGGCUCUUGUUUCACCUCUAGGUACACAUUUAUUUCUUUUUUAUCAGCGCAUUUAGGAUUCACAUUAGGCUUUUUUUUGCUGUUGAAUCAAAUAUUGGCUCUCUUGUUUGCUGUGAUUUAGUAUAAACAUAAAAUCCUCUUUGUGAGUCAGGGUAUCCAGGAGCCAGUCUACAGAAUGUGGACAGGCUGCAUUAUAAUUUUGUGUUAUGUUGACCUAAAAUGCCAUUCAUUUGAAUGAGCCCUAGCAUUCCUUUAUAAUCAGUUUGGUUUUAGACUAAGAAAUCAUAUGCCUCAACAAAUCUGUAAUCUCAUUAUAGGUUUCUUUGGCAAGGCAUACUUCUAAUAAAGCUAUUGUCACUAGCAUUAGUCCUCUACAUCAAGUUUUUGUAACUGUAGUCCCAUAUUUUUUGUAGUUUUUCUGCUACUUUUGUCAAACCAGACAGUAAUUACCUAAAUUAUCUCAGUUCUCUCUUUUUUUUCUUUAAUAUUUACAUAAUGCUAACAUUUUUUAUGUCUUAUAACAUUUUCCUGUAUUUGUUAAAAUUUUACAGAACAAAGGAUCUGUUCAGCCAGUUCCUGUAAAACUCCAGGAUUCUGAGAGAAUCUGGGAACAGAGGAGUAGCAGCAGGAGACAGUGCAAUACUUGAGGAUAUUUUGAAGAUUUCAGGCAACAAGACGACUUUCAGCUGUAUCCAGCACUCCAGCUGUGUGUGAUUUGCCUCUUAAUCAAAGAUUUCAAAAAUCAGGUUCCAUCUGCUAAAAAAUUCAAAGGUGAGAAUUUUCCCUUUUUUAAUUUAUUUUCCAAGCAAUUGGCAACAAACAGAAAGUCCAUUUCUCAGUAC
RNAcentral lists this long non-coding RNA (916 nucleotides) under Cyanistes caeruleus (blue tit). RNAcentral's name for it is "lncRNA (ENSCCEG00000012998.1)". The record is from RNAcentral. Lineage: Eukaryota; Metazoa; Chordata; Aves; Passeriformes; Paridae.